This 1050-nucleotide ribosomal RNA is filed under the name Glandirana tientaiensis (Tientai rough-skinned frog). Its description in RNAcentral is "partial 16S ribosomal RNA". It matches the Rfam family "Bacterial large subunit ribosomal RNA", at positions 840 to 2597 of the family's 2925-position model. Lineage: Eukaryota; Metazoa; Chordata; Amphibia; Anura; Ranidae. The record is from RNAcentral.
UAGUGAUAGCUGGUUGUUCAGGAAAAGAGUCUCAGCUCUACCUUAAGUCUCUUUAUUACUAAAACAAACCCCAAGACUUAAGAGCUAUUCAAAUAAGGAACAGCUUAUUUGAAAUAGGAUUCAACCUCUUACACAGGGUAAACAAGAACAGACUAAGUAAAGUGGGCCUAAGAGCAGCCAUCUUAUAAAAAGCGUUAAAGCUUAACUUUUCUUUAUAUUAAUUCCAACUAUUCCAUCAACCCCUCACCUCUACUGAACUAUUUUAUAACCCUAUAAAAACUAUUAUGCUAGAACUAGUAACAUGAAAGCACCUUUCUCCUAAUGUAAACUUAAACCAUUACGGAUUGUCCACUGGUAUUUAACGUACUUACCCUAAUUAUAGCAACUUUCAACCAGAAAACCCUAUUAUCCAACGUCAACCUUACACUAGAACAUUACAGGAAAGAUUAAAAGAAAGAGAAGGAACUCGGCAAACUCAGCCCAGCCUGUUUACCAAAAACAUCGCCUCUUGCUUAAAAUAAGAGGUCCAGCCUGCCCAGUGACAUAGUUCAACGGCCGCGGUACCCUAACCGUGCGAAGGUAGCAUAAUCACUUGUUCUCUAAAUAGGGACUAGUAUCAACGGCACCACGAGGGCUACACUGUCUCCUCUCUCCAAUCAGUGAAACUGAUCUCCCCGUGAAGAAGCGGGGAUUUUUAUAUAAGACGAGAAGACCCCAUGGAGCUUCAAACUCAAUAUACACCUUUUCUUGCAACAACUAACCGUAAAGAUCUGUAUAUUAGUUUUAGGUUGGGGGGACCGCGGAGUAUAACUCAACCUCCACGACAAACGGGCCAACGCCCUUAUCUACGAAACACAUUUCUAAGAAUCAAUAAUCUGAUGUUUUAUGACCCGAUAAAUCGAUCAACGAACCAAGUUACCCUGGGGAUAACAGCGCAAUCUACUUCAAGAGCUCCUAUCGACAAGUGGGUUUACGACCUCGAUGUUGGAUCAGGGUAUCCUAGUGGUGCAGCCGCUACUAAACGUUCGCUUGUUCAACGAUUAAAACCCU